CGUCGUCUGAGCGACGUUUAAAUAGAACUUAAGCUCAGAGCGUUCCCCACUCUAGGGUGGGGAGGUGGCG
Molecule: ribozyme, 70 nt
Filed under: unclassified sequences
Description: pistol ribozyme
Rfam family: Pistol ribozyme
Source: RNAcentral